UACGUAGUGUGCAAGCGUUAAUCGGAAUUACUGGGCGUAAAGCGUGCGCAGGCGGUGAUGUAAGACAGAUGUGAAAUCCCCGGGCUCAACCUGGGAACUGCAUUUGUGACUGCAUCGCUGGAGUACGGCAGAGGGGGAUGGAAUUCCGCGUGUAGCAGUGAAAUGCGUAGAUAUGCGGAGGAACACCGAUGGCGAAGGCAAUCCCCUGGGCCUGCACUGACGCUCAUGCACGAAAGCGUGGGGAGCAAACAGG
RNAcentral lists this ribosomal RNA (253 nucleotides) under uncultured bacterium. RNAcentral's name for it is "partial 16S ribosomal RNA". It matches the Rfam family "Bacterial small subunit ribosomal RNA", at positions 524 to 776 of the family's 1533-position model. The record is from RNAcentral.